Molecule: long non-coding RNA, 485 nt
Organism: Xyrauchen texanus (razorback sucker)
Lineage: Eukaryota; Metazoa; Chordata; Actinopteri; Cypriniformes; Catostomidae
Exons: 4
Source: RefSeq, a predicted model, not a curated record
CAUGUGCAGACCCAUUUUUUUCUGAAGGCGCCAAGGAAGGCAGUGGGAUUGUACGUGAUGCACUCUUUUGAAUGCUGCCUGCAUUCAGCUCUACAUUUUCGACCCGCCCCUACUCUGCCGCAGACUGGCUGUGACCGCCCGUGACAUUUUUUUUGACAAGCAUGUCACUCCACUUGCGCAAACCUAACCAACGAAGGCAACGAACACUAGCCAAUCAGAGGCAGGUCUUCGCGGAAUGCGGAUAAAUGCUGAAUUCCAGCGCAUAUUAACAGUCCCACUUGAAACAACCUUCAUGGCUCAGUUGGACAGCCAUUUACCCCAGAUGACAUCUAUUUUCAACAAUUAGGGAGGUGUUUCUGGCCAAAAACUAGCCAAACAUCUGGUGAUCUUGCAAGAGGCUACAAGUGACAUCAAUCUUAAAAGGGCAGCAGUCCUCAAGGCACUUUGCAUCUACCUUGGUGAGGAUGAUGGACAUCUCAUUCGGG